Molecule: ribosomal RNA, 250 nt
Filed under: uncultured bacterium
Lineage: Bacteria
Description: partial 16S ribosomal RNA
Rfam family: Bacterial small subunit ribosomal RNA
Source: RNAcentral
UACGGAGGGUGCAAGCAUUAAUCGGAGUUAUUGGGCGUAAAGGGCGCGUAGGCGGGGAUAAAAGUCAGAUGUGAAAUCCCGGGGCUCAACCUCGGAACUGCAUUUGAAACUCUAUUUCUAGAGGGUAGGCGGGGAAAACGGAAUUCCAUAAGUAGCGGUGAAAUGCGUUGAGAUAUGGAGGAACACCGGUGGCGAAGGCGGUUUUCUAGCUUACACCUGACGCUGAGGCGCGAAAGCAAGGGGAUCAAAC